ACGCUGGCGGCAGGCCUAACACAUGCAAGUCGAGCGCGCCUUUCGGGGUGAGCGGCGGACGGGUUAGUAACGCGUGGGAACGUACCCUUUUCUGCGGAAUAGCCUCUGGAAACGGAGAGUAAUACCGCAUACGCCCUUUGGGGGAAAGAUUUAUCGGAGAAGGAUCGGCCCGCGUUAGAUUAGAUAGUUGGUGGGGUAACGGCCUACCAAGUCUACGAUCUAUAGCUGGUUUUAGAGGAUGAUCAGCAACACUGGGACUGAGACACGGCCCAGACUCCUACGGGAGGCAGCAGUGGGGAAUCUUGGACAAUGGGCGCAAGCCUGAUCCAGCCAUGCCGCGUGAGUGAAGAAGGCCUUAGGGUCGUAAAGCUCUUUCGCCUGUGAUGAUAAUGACAGUAGCAGGUAAAGAAACCCCGGCUAACUCCGUGCCAGCAGCCGCGGUAAUACGGAGGGGGUUAGCGUUGUUCGGAAUUACUGGGCGUAAAGCGCGCGUAGGCGGAUUGGAAAGUUGGGGGUGAAAUCCCGAGGCUCAACCUCGGAACUGCCUCCAAAACUCCCAGUCUAGAGUUCGAGAGAGGUGAGUGGAAUUCCAAGUGUAGAGGUGAAAUUCGUAGAUAUUUGGAGGAACACCAGUGGCGAAGGCGGCUCACUGGCUCGAUACUGACGCUGAGGUGCGAAAGUGUGGGGAGCAAACAGGAUUAGAUACCCUGGUAGUCCACACCGUAAACGAUGAAUGCCAGUCGUCGGGUAGUAUACUAUUCGGUGACACACCUAACGGAUUAAGCAUUCCGCCUGGGGAGUACG
This 804-nucleotide ribosomal RNA is filed under the name uncultured Paracoccaceae bacterium. RNAcentral's name for it is "bacterial SSU rRNA". It matches the Rfam family "Bacterial small subunit ribosomal RNA", at positions 33 to 884 of the family's 1533-position model. Lineage: Bacteria; Pseudomonadati; Pseudomonadota; Alphaproteobacteria; Rhodobacterales; Paracoccaceae. The record is from RNAcentral.